This 963-nucleotide ribosomal RNA is filed under the name Triticum aestivum (bread wheat). Its description in RNAcentral is "partial small subunit ribosomal RNA". The record is from RNAcentral. Lineage: Eukaryota; Viridiplantae; Streptophyta; Magnoliopsida; Poales; Poaceae.
AUGCAAUUCUCAUAUAUUCAUGACAUUUCCAUUUUACAGAUUAAAAAAAAGCAAGUUGUGGUGAGUACAAAACCUCCAGAAGAAUCGGUCAAGAUUUCUCUCAAGGACUGUUUAGCUUGCAGUGGUUGCAUAACAUCAGCAGAGACAGUUAUGCUUGAGAAGCAAAGCUUGGAUGACUUUGUUACUCGCAUCAACUCUGGCAAAACCGUCAUCGUAUCUAUGUCUCCCCAGUCAAGAGCAUCAUUAGCUGCAUUCUUUGGUCUUUCUCAGUCACAGGUUUUCAAAAAACUAACUGCUCUGUUCAAGUCGAUGGGCGUGAAGGCAGUGUAUGACACAAGUAGUAGUCGAGAUCUGGCCCUAAUUGAAGCAUGCAAUGAAUUUAUUUCACGCUAUAAGCUGAGUCAAUUGUCUAGCGACAAAGAAGUUGGAACAAGUCUUCCUGUGCUUUCAUCUGCAUGUCCAGGUUGGAUAUGCUAUGCUGAAAAGACUCUUGGUUCAUAUAUCUUGCCCUACAUCUCAUCUGUAAAGAGUCCCCAACAAGUGAUUGGUGCAGCUAUCAAGCAUCACAUGGUUGAAAAACUUGGUCUCAAGCCGUAUGAUGUGUAUCAUGUUACUGUGAUGCCCUGUUAUGAUAAAAAACUUGAAGCUGUCCGGGGCGACUUUGUUUUCUCAGUGGAAGAAAAGGAAGUUACAGAGGUGGACUCGGUAUUGACAACUGGUGAAGUGUUGGACUUGAUACAGUCCAAAUCUGUUGAUUUCAAGACAAUGGAGGAAUCUCCUUUGGACAGAUUAUUAACAAAUGUUGAUGAUGGUGGUCAUCUAUAUGGGGUUUCUGGUGGCUCGGGUGGUUAUGCGGAAACCAUCUUUCUUUAUGCAGCACGUGCACUCUUUAAUAGGGAAAUAGAAGGCCCACUUGAUUUCAAAAUCUUGCGAAAUUCAGAUUUCUGUGAAGUUACACUGGAG